GCCUACGGGAGGCAGCAGUAGGGAAUAUGGCUCAAUGGGGGAAACCCUGAAGCAGCAACGCCGCGUGGAGGAUGAAGGUUUUCGGAUUGUAAACUCCUUUUGUUAGAGAAGAUAAUGACGGUAUCUAACGAAUAAGCACCGGCUAACUCCGUGCCAGCAGCCGCGGUAAUACGGAGGGUGCAAGCGUUACUCGGAAUCACUGGGCGUAAAGAGCGCGUAGGCGGGAUAGCAAGUCAGAUGUGAAAUCCUAUGGCUUAACCAUAGAAUUGCAUUGGAAACUGUUAUUCUCGAGUAUGGGAGAGGUA
This 305-nucleotide ribosomal RNA is filed under the name uncultured bacterium. RNAcentral describes it as "bacterial SSU rRNA". It matches the Rfam family "Bacterial small subunit ribosomal RNA", at positions 337 to 659 of the family's 1533-position model. The record is from RNAcentral.